This 68-nucleotide non-coding RNA is filed under the name Biostraticola tofi. Lineage: Bacteria; Pseudomonadati; Pseudomonadota; Gammaproteobacteria; Enterobacterales; Bruguierivoracaceae. The record is from RNAcentral.
AGAAGCACGACAUUGCUCACAUUGCUUCCAAUAGUAUUUACGGUCGGCUAGUUUGCCGGCCUUUUUUU